This 429-nucleotide ribosomal RNA is filed under the name Chloroflexota bacterium. Its description in RNAcentral is "Chloroflexi bacterium partial 16S ribosomal RNA". It matches the Rfam family "Bacterial small subunit ribosomal RNA", at positions 355 to 776 of the family's 1533-position model. The record is from RNAcentral. Lineage: Bacteria; Bacillati; Chloroflexota.
UGGGGAAUAUUGCACAAUGGGCGCAAGCCUGAUGCAGCCAUGCCGCGUGUAUGAAGAAGGCCUUCGGGUUGUAAAGUACUUUCAGUCGGGAGGAAGGUGGUAAGGUUAAUAACCUUAUCAAUUGACGUUACCGACAGAAGAAGCACCGGCUAACUCCGUGCCAGCAGCCGCGGUAAUACGGAGGGUGCAAGCGUUAAUCGGAAUUACUGGGCGUAAAGCGCACGCAGGCGGUUUGUUAAGUCAGAUGUGAAAUCCCCGGGCUCAACCUGGGAACUGCAUCUGAUACUGGCAAGCUUGAGUCUCGUAGAGGGGGGUAGAAUUCCAGGUGUAGCGGUGAAAUGCGUGGAGAUCUGGGGGAAUACCGGUGGCGAAGGCGGCCCCCUGGACGAAGACUGACGCUCAGGUGCGAAAGCGUGGGGAGCAAACAGG